CGAGUCUUAACCGGGCGUUAAGUUGCAGGGUAUAGACCCGAAACCCGGUGAUCUAGCCAUGGGCAGGUUGAAGGUUGGGUAACACUAACUGGAGGACCGAACCGACUAAUGUUGAAAAAUUAGCGGAUGACCUGUGGCUGGGGGUGAAAGGCCAAUCAAACCGGGAGAUAGCUGGUUCUCCCCGAAAGCUAUUUAGGUAGCGCCUCGUGAAUUCAUCUCCGGGGGUAGAGCACUGUUUCGGCUAGGGGGCCAUCCCGGCUUACCAACCCGAUGCAAACUGCGAAUACCGGAGAAUGUUAUCACGGGAGACACACGGCGGGUGCUAACGUCCGUCGUGAAGAGGGAAACAACCCAGACCGCCAGCUAAGGUCCCAAAGUCAUGGUUAAGUGGGAAACGAUGUGGGAAGGCCCAGACAGCCAGGAUGUUGGCUUAGAAGCAGCCAUCAUUUAAAGAAAGCGUAAUAGCUCACUGGUCGAGUCGGCCUGCGCGGAAGAUGUAACGGGGCUAAACCAUGCACCGAAGCUGCGGCAGCGAACGUAUCACUUAAAGCGAUUCAGCGGGUUACGAUUGACGGAGCGAAGCGACGUCAAAGCGUAUACAAAGUCGAGUCGGUUUAAGGAUACGUUCGUUGGGUAGGGGAGCGUUCUGUAAGCCUGUGAAGGUGUGUCGUGAGGCAUGCUGGAGGUAUCAGAAGUGCGAAUGCUGACAUAAGUAACGAUAAAGCGGGUGAAAAGCCCGCUCGCCGGAAGACCAAGGGUUCCUGUCCAACGUUAAUCGGGGCAGGGUGAGUCGACCCCUAAGGCGAGGCCGAAAGGCGUAGUCGAUGGGAAACGGGUUAAUAUUCCCGUACUUGGUGUUACUGCGAAGGGGGGACGGAGAAGGCUAUGUUGGCCGGGCGACGGUUGUCCCGGUUUAAGCGUGUAGGUGUGUGUUCCAGGUAAAUCCGGUUCACUUUAACACUGAGGCGUGAUGACGAGGCACUACGGUGCUGAAGCAACAAAUGCCCUGCUUCCAGGAAAAGCCUCUAAGCAUCAGGUAACAUCAAAUCGUACCCCAAACCGACACAGGUGGUCAGGUAGAGAAUACCAAGGCGCUUGAGAGAACUCGGGUGAAGGAACUAGGCAAAAUGGUGCCGUAACUUCGGGAGAAGGCACGCUGACACGUAGGUGAAGUGAUUUACUCAUGGAGCUGAAGUCAGUCGAAGAUACCAGCUGGCUGCAACUGUUUAUUAAAAACACAGCACUGUGCAAACACGAAAGUGGACGUAUACGGUGUGACGCCUGCCCGGUGCCGGAAGGUUAAUUGAUGGGGUCAGCGCAAGCGAAGCUCCUGAUCGAAGCCCCGGUAAACGGCGGCCGUAACUAUAACGGUCCUAAGGUAGCGAAAUUCCUUGUCGGGUAAGUUCCGACCUGCACGAAUGGCGUAAUGAUGGCCAGGCUGUCUCCACCCGAGACUCAGUGAAAUUGAACUCGCUGUGAAGAUGCAGUGUACCCGCGGCAAGACGGAAAGACCCCGUGAACCUUUACUAUAGCUUGACACUGAACAUUGAGCCUUGAUGUGUAGGAUAGGUGGGAGGCUUUGAAGCGUGGACGCCAGUCUGCGUGGAGCCGACCUUGAAAUACCACCCUUUAAUGUUUGAUGUUCUAACGUGGACCCGUAAUCCGGGUUGCGGACAGUGUCUGGUGGGUAGUUUGACUGGGGCGGUCUCCUCCUAAAGAGUAACGGAGGAGCACGAAGGUUGGCUAAUCCUGGUCGGACAUCAGGAGGUUAGUGCAAUGGCAUAAGCCAGCUUGACUGCGAGCGUGACGGCGCGAGCAGGUGCGAAAGCAGGUCAUAGUGAUCCGGUGGUUCUGAAUGGAAGGGCCAUCGCUCAACGGAUAAAAGGUACUCCGGGGAUAACAGGCUGAUACCGCCCAAGAGUUCAUAUCGACGGCGGUGUUUGGCACCUCGAUGUCGGCUCAUCACAUCCUGGGGCUGAAGUAGGUCCCAAGGGUAUGGCUGUUCGCCAUUUAAAGUGGUACGCGAGCUGGGUUUAGAACGUCGUGAGACAGUUCGGUCCCUAUCUGCCGUGGGCGCUGGAGAACUGAGGGGGGCUGCUCCUAGUACGAGAGGACCGGAGUGGACGCAUCACUGGUGUUCGGGUUGUCAUGCCAAUGGCACUGCCCGGUAGCUAAAUGCGGAAGAGAUAAGUGCUGAAAGCAUCUAAGCACGAAACUUGCCCCGGGAUGAGUUCUCCCUGAGACUUAGAGUC
Molecule: ribosomal RNA, 2252 nt
Filed under: Salmonella enterica
Lineage: Bacteria; Pseudomonadati; Pseudomonadota; Gammaproteobacteria; Enterobacterales; Enterobacteriaceae
Description: partial 23S ribosomal RNA
Rfam family: Bacterial large subunit ribosomal RNA
Source: RNAcentral